UUUCAGCAUCCAGAGGGUAGUGCAUGGGCCGGUGUACCUCCUCGUGGGGUUGGCAGAAGUUUGAGUAUAUCAGCUCCACCUGAGCAGGUGAAUCCUAGACUUGGAUUAGGUUUGAGAAGACUAGGUACUGAAGGUAAUGCUGAACCCAUGGCAUCUGGAAGCUCUCGGAGAAACUUCCGUUUGAGGAUACAUCCUUCACAUCAAGAAUCUGUUCCUUCUUCAUUAUUUUCUUCUGGAACUGCUGUUAGGAAUAACAAUUUCCAAUCUUCCCAUCACUCAAGGCGUAUUCCAGUUGAUCAGUCCUUGGAGUUU
Molecule: long non-coding RNA, 312 nt
Filed under: Linum usitatissimum (flax)
Lineage: Eukaryota; Viridiplantae; Streptophyta; Magnoliopsida; Malpighiales; Linaceae
Description: long non-coding RNA (LUSI_LNC001017)
Source: RNAcentral